RNAcentral lists this signal recognition particle RNA (299 nucleotides) under Saimiri boliviensis boliviensis (Bolivian squirrel monkey). RNAcentral's name for it is "Metazoan signal recognition particle RNA (ENSSBOG00000002022.1)". It matches the Rfam family "Metazoan signal recognition particle RNA". From Rfam's summary of the family: The signal recognition particle (SRP) is a universally conserved ribonucleoprotein. It is involved in the co-translational targeting of proteins to membranes. The eukaryotic SRP consists of a 300-nucleotide 7S RNA and six proteins: SRPs 72, 68, 54, 19, 14, and 9. Lineage: Eukaryota; Metazoa; Chordata; Mammalia; Primates; Cebidae. The record is from RNAcentral.
GCCAGGCACGGUGGCGCAUGCCUGUAGUCCCAGCUACUCAGGAGGCUGAGGUGGGAGGAUCCCUUGAGCCCAGGAGUUCUGGACUGUAGUGUGCUAUGCUGAUUGGGUGUCUGCACUAAAUUCGGCAUCGGUACGGUGACCUCCCAGGAUCAGGGGACCACCAGGUUGCCUAAGGAUGGGGGAACCGGUCCAGGUCGGAAAUGGAGCAGGUCAAAACUCCUGUGCUGAUCAGUACUGGUAUCGCACCUGUGAAUAGCCACUGCACUCCAGCCUGGGCAACACAGCAAGACCCCAGCUCU